GUUAUGGCUCAAUGGUAGAGUGCCUGCCUUGCAAGUGCGAGGCCCUGGGUUCGAUCCUCAGCACAACA
Molecule: transfer RNA, 68 nt
Filed under: Marmota marmota marmota (Alpine marmot)
Lineage: Eukaryota; Metazoa; Chordata; Mammalia; Rodentia; Sciuridae
Also listed under: 1 other name
Rfam family: tRNA
About the family: Transfer RNA (tRNA) molecules are approximately 80 nucleotides in length. Their secondary structure includes four short double-helical elements and three loops (D, anti-codon, and T loops).
Source: Rfam by way of RNAcentral